UGUUUCGUUAGACUUUUUAUGUGUUGUAUACGCUCUGCCCCCCCUGUGUUCCAUUAUAGUGUUAUAAUAAUGUAUGAUCGACCCUUCAGAGAUAGGACCUCCGUCUCACAUAGUGUUUAUUGUCUAGUGGGUCUUUACCGGCUGUUUUGGCUUAUUGUGACUGUUACUUAUCCAUUCUAAAGUCUUUACCCACUAAUCGAGGCACGUGUGUCGUAUACCUCUUCUGCUCUUGAACUGUGACAUACAUUCGAGAAUAAUGGUAUAACAAGUGCAAAAAACAUUUUUGGGAGAGUAGGGCAUGUGCUCUUGAACUGUGACAUACAUUCGAGAAUAAUAGGUAUAACAAGUGCAAAAAACAAAAAUGGGGAAGAGUUAUUGGACAGAGUUCAGAUAACAAUAGAGAUCACAGAAAGACGCACAAACAUGAGUGAAAUAAGCUUCAUCACAGGGACUUAAUUAUAUGCAGGAAGCGGCUUGUUUGCCAAGGUGGUUUGAACACCAAUACUUGCUGGGGAAAUCUGCACUUUAUUGUGUCCACAUCAUCAUGCUACAUGUAGGUGGUUCCACCCAAUUUCAUAGCUCCGUGGAGGGUCACAGCGAUCCCUACUCAACUGGUAGUCAGUGACCGCCUACGACGUUAGUAUUUAGCUUUUUUUCACAGCAAUAUUUUCUUUUUUGCAGCUCUAGAAUUUGGCUGCCCGAUUCACUCACAUUGAGAACGACAGAGAUCAAGAGACAAGACUCGAUCAGACACAUACACCACUCCAGGUAUGGCAAAGACCAACUCGUUCUUUUGGGACGAUUGUACAUAUUGCUAGGUUGUACAAAGACGUUAUCUCCUCCGCAGUGGGAGCCUAGGGUUUGGGAUCACCAAGCACCUCCAGUGACUGUCAGCGGAUUGCUGUAAAAGAGAACAAAUUAGCUUGUGAAAGCGUGACCCUAUAUACCCAUUGGAGAUGAAGCCAAUUUAUUGUGUAGGGGGUAUUUACCGUAUUUUUUUGUCUCAGUGUGUUGUGAUUCGUGUCCCAACGACAGUGCUGGCUGCUUGACAGAAGUGAUUGACCAAUGGAUGAAGGGUUGGUCUGGACGACCAACAUGGAGUGAGCUGGCCAAUCUCGUCUCAGUAACAUAGGAGAGGAGCAAGUACAUGUAGCAAAGGAACUUGUGACCAGCUACGAGUCUGGGGCAUGUGGCAGGGGUGCACGACUCUAAGAGGAUCUUCUGAGAGGAGAGUGUGCUAUAUAAAAUAUCUCCUUGGGCAGUUCCAGCAGUGGAUUGCAGCUACAUCUGUUAUAGAGUGUACACAAACCAGUGAGGAGGACCUUGCACAUAAGGAAGUGUUUUGGUACACAGUAAUAUUACCUAGCUAGCUACAUUGUAGUGUUUUCUAACCAGAGAGAUGGGAUUCUAUUUCACAGAGUGUAUACUAGCUAACGUAGGUGAUGUGUUUUCUCUGUGCAUGGUGGCCUAUAUCAACCUUAGCACUCUAGUGGGUCUUUACCGUGUGUUUUGGCUCAGUGCGACUGCAAUAUUUCCUUUUCUGCAGCUCAAGCACACCAGUGAGUUUCUCCAUAGAAUCAGAUUGCUCGUAGCACCAGUCGUAUGCUGAUGAAGGUGGCAAGAGAAUUUCAAGAAAAUGGCUGCCCAGGUCACCCAGAUUGAGAACGACAAAGAUCGAGAGAAGACUCACCGAUAAGAGAGAGUACAUGUAAGUCAAUAUACAGUACCCCCUUAGAUUAUAGGCACGUAGUUCACAUUUAAAGGUCGUCAGUUGAAUCCGAAGGUCGGGUGGAGAUGCUGGCGUGAUAAUAUCGGUUUACGCGGGCACAGUCUUUGUGGCUUAACCUGUUGACCCAUACUUGCAUUUUUUUUGUCAUCUUGUUGUGGGGGCUGGCUAUGCGUUUAGGCCACUCUUUUUAUUUGUUGAACACACAAUCAGCAUGAGCUUGCCGUCACACAAACACGAAGUUUAACCCCACUCUCUUUUGAGUAGCCCCACAAAAUUAGCGCCACUGUUUUUAGCUUGUCGCCACACAAAUACAAAGUUUAGCCCCCCUACUCUUAGCAUACUUUUAGAACAAAUAGUAUGCCAUACAAUGGAGGAUUUCAAGUUGGUGGCAGAAGUUAAAAGUUGAAGUGCACUCAGCCAUGACCCCUCCCCCCCACACACACACAUGUACACACACACCGUGCACUGUGCACAGGAGGAUAGUCAGGGUCAAUUAAAAGGAUUCCUGAUAACUUAUUUGCAUUCCGCUCUUUCUUUCUUACCUCUAACCACUAGCGAGGGGGUUGGAGAUAAUUAAGUCCGCUGGAAGCAGAUUUGAAUUGACCUUGAAUAUCCUCAUUUGCGCGCACACACACACACACACACACACACACACACUACUGACAAACAUUUGGUUCAUAUUAGCUCAGCCAACAAGUCACAAGUAAGUAUCCUUUGUCUUCGACUUAAUUCGUGGAUUUGCAAAAUAAUGUUCACAGUUUUGCUUACUUGGAAUGUCAUUGCAGCCUUUUCAGAAGAGCACGUUUGUUUACGGAGUGUCAAUUGGUUGAUCGUUACCCAUUCUUUGAGUUUGCAUGCGCAGUAAAAUGUAUGUUCGUCAUGUACAUUUAAAAAAGCUAUUAGUUGCUUUAUGUUAUAUGUACGUAGCUUUGGCAUCUCCACCGAGGCAUCAGCACCUGAGGUGCUAAGUAUACUUAGACAGAGGAGGUUGGCCACGCGUCAUCAAUUUUGUGACGUAUGUGAUGUCUCUGCUCAGGUUACCAUGGAUACCGAGCAACUGUAAAAAGAAUGUAUGGCUACUGUUACUUUGCUAGCUUAUAACUGUUGUCUAGUUGGACCAGGAUUAGUUAGACUAUAGGGUAGAGUAUAGCUCAGCGGUGCUGCAUGUAGCUUGUACUGUACUGGCUGACUAUAUGCACUGAUAACUCGCCAGAAUAGAGGGGAUCGCUGGGGAUCGGGUUGGUUAAUGAUAGCCAGAGAGAUACAUAAAUGUUGCUUUCAGUCUCCAAUGACCGUGCAACACCAGCUAGAAGUUUACAUGGAAAACCCUUGUCAAUUUCUAUGCCAGCUCAGCAAAAAAAGUGGUGCACGUGAUCGUGUCCAACCUCCUCUGAUGCUUAGAUCAUGUUUGUCAUAAAUACUGCAAUUUGAUUGGCUAAAGGAAUUAAGUGUUCUAUCCAACUUAGAAAAUCAUGUAUAUACUUCACUUAGAAAAUCAUGUAGAGAUAAGAACAUUCAAAUCUGAUUGGCUAAAUACCCAUGGUUGCUAUGAUCUAA
Halichondria panicea is the source of this 3286-nucleotide long non-coding RNA. RefSeq lists it as uncharacterized. NCBI's taxonomy places the organism in Eukaryota, Metazoa, Porifera, Demospongiae, Suberitida, Halichondriidae. The record is from RefSeq and is a predicted model, not a curated record. The transcript is spliced from 5 exons.